Molecule: non-coding RNA, 68 nt
Organism: Phenylobacterium zucineum
Lineage: Bacteria; Pseudomonadati; Pseudomonadota; Alphaproteobacteria; Caulobacterales; Caulobacteraceae
Source: Rfam
GACGAAUCUAUUGCUUGCCAAGCCUGGCGGUUACCGCUGCCGGGGGAGGGCGGUGAAAAGAGGAGUCU